UGAUGAAAAUAAAGUGGGCAGUAAUCGCAUGCAAUUAAUGGCGCUUUCCUGCAACUACGUCCGCAUUCGAAGCAUAGACGAGCUGAUAAUUUCAAAUAAUACAAAUGUGAAGAAUUGUAAGAGCAAAAAGCAACAAUUACCAUUGCUGUUUGAUGAACUCUGUUGCUUCCCUCUUCUACCAGAUACAUAAUCUACUUUGUUACUUCCAGGAAAUAUUAUUGGCAACUGUAACUCUUUCGGAAGCUCAAAUUCACGAGGAUUAACUAAAGAGGCUGCUAAAGCUAAGAUUUCUAAUGCAGACUUUUUCUUCUUUUUAUCAUUUCCUUUAUUUCCUAAAAUUUCUCUUUUCGUUGCACAUCGACAGGCAUAACACAACCAUUCACCAUUAGGUAUAUCUGUUGGAUCCACCGGCGGAUAGCUACAUGAAAAAACAAUUAUAAAUAGAUAAUAAUACAAGAUCUCUAAUGAAAUUAAUAGAAAGGACAAAUUAUAAUGUUCAUUUGAUAAUGCAGAAUAAAUUUUUCAAACUUUUAUUACAAAUACAUGUCUGAGGAUAGUCUUAUAUCAUUAGUUUGUUUUUUUACAAAGCAUGCUCUUCGUUCAAUAAUUUGAUAGUGAAUUUAAAAGCAUGAAAUACAUUAUUUUAAAUACAUUUAUACAAUCGCGUGAAUCAAAGACCUAUUAUUUAUCAUUGACUCACUGGCAUUGUAAGUGGUAAGAUGCUGGACAUUUGUCGCAACAUAUUAGUUCACCUCCAUCUCUACACGCAUCGCAAAAAUCAUGAUUAUGGCCACGACCUCGUCUUUUAAAAUAAGGAUGUUUCUUUUCCUCCUUUUCCCUUUUAGAUUUAGCUGAUUUAGAGUCUUCUGAUACUGGCGGAGCUAUGAGUGCUUGAAUUUGCUGGAAAUACAAAUGAAAUAAAAAGAAUAAAAGAUAAGAAAUACAUGUUUGUUAUAAUCUAAUGUUAUAAUCUAAUUGUUGAAAAUAUACAAUUUACUUAUUAAUGGA
This 1008-nucleotide long non-coding RNA is filed under the name Polistes fuscatus (common paper wasp). Its description in RNAcentral is "uncharacterized LOC122517112". Lineage: Eukaryota; Metazoa; Arthropoda; Insecta; Hymenoptera; Vespidae. The record is from RNAcentral.